Molecule: ribosomal RNA, 497 nt
Filed under: uncultured bacterium
Lineage: Bacteria
Description: partial 16S ribosomal RNA
Rfam family: Bacterial small subunit ribosomal RNA
Source: RNAcentral
GAUGAACGCUGGCGGCGUGCCUAAUACAUGCAAGUCGAGCGAACGGACGAGAAGCUUGCUUCUCUGAUGUUAGCGGCGGACGGGUGAGUAACACGUGGAUAACCUACCUAUAAGACUGGGAUAACUUCGGGAAACCGGAGCUAAUACCGGAUAAUAUUUUGAACCGCAUGGUUCAAAAGUGAAAGACGGUCUUGCUGUCACUUAUAGAUGGAUCCGCGCUGCAUUAGCUAGUUGGUAAGGUAACGGCUUACCAAGGCAACGAUGCGUAGCCGACCUGAGAGGGUGAUCGGCCACACUGGAACUGAGACACGGUCCAGACUCCUACGGGAGGCAGCAGUAGGGAAUCUUCCGCAAUGGGCGAAAGCCUGACGGAGCAACGCCGCGUGAGUGAUGAAGGUCUUCGGAUAGUAAAACUCUGUUAUUAGGGAAGAACAUAUGUGUAAGUAACUGUGCACAUCUUGACGGUACCUAAUCAGAAAGCCACGGCUAACUACGUG